AUCCCGAUAGAAAGCGUGAAACAGAUGAUAUUGAGAAUGUUACAAAAGCUUUUAGUAUAAAUUACAAUGACCCCAAAAUCUAAACAUAACUUAAACAUUUCCUUUUGUUUCAGGAUACAAUCCCUCAGCUUGUCUGAGAAACGCAGGAUACAACCAGCUCAGAAGGCUGUAAAUAAGAACCUUUUCAAUGACUACUGAGUGACUGUACUCAUAUUGCCACACACACACCUGAUCAUUCCUGACUAAUCUGGUUCAUGUUAUUUUAUCUUUAAAAGUCUGUAACAAUCAAUCAGUUUUUUAAAAACAGUCCUUUUAAUGAUGUUGUUUUGAGCCUGUCAUAACAGUUAGCUUAGUUGCCUGGUUUGGCUCAGGUCAUGAUACUCUUGGGCCUAGGGAGAGUUGUGCAGGUCAGUUUAAAGAUUGUAAGGAGAAACCAAAAGGCUCUCUGAGACAUUUACAAAGACCACACGCGUAAGAGGGGAACAUCAAUCGUAUUGGACACUUCCACUAAACAAUCAAUAUGCAGUUCUGCCAUUAGGUAACACUCAGGUUUUGACCUCUUAAAACCAAGAGAGGCGGCAUCAGUACUGCUUUUAAGUGUUUAUCUUGUAUAUACCUUGUAAGCAUGUGCAUCUGUCAUGUGUGUUGCUGUUGAUAUGUUUACUGUAUAUCUUUAUCUUGUGUUACGUGCCACUUCCUUCUGGGAAAAAAUGUCAUUUAUUCUAUUCAAUUUAAGGUUUCAAAGUGAGGGUAUAUUACCAGUGAACUACCAGAAUUUUGGCAACUUUCAAGUUUUGGGGUGAAUUUUAUAAGAUCACAUCUAGUGAGGUUUUUUGGGUACUUCAGAUUAUCACGUGUCUGUAAUUAUCUUUGGCCCUCUGUGUGGCCUUAUCACAUGUAAAAUAUAUACAAUUUAAAAAUGAAUAGAAUGACUCCGAUGUAAAACAUUAUCCUAAAUGCAAAUCACCAUGAUUUGGGGUCAAACCGGUGGCAGUUGUGAAAAAAGUUGCAGAGUUAAUAAAAAAUAAUGCCGUUGUUGA
Long non-coding RNA from Salvelinus fontinalis (brook trout), 1040 nucleotides. RefSeq lists it as uncharacterized. NCBI's taxonomy places the organism in Eukaryota, Metazoa, Chordata, Actinopteri, Salmoniformes, Salmonidae. The record is from RefSeq and is a predicted model, not a curated record. The transcript is spliced from 2 exons.